This 460-nucleotide ribosomal RNA is filed under the name uncultured bacterium. RNAcentral's name for it is "partial 16S ribosomal RNA". It matches the Rfam family "Bacterial small subunit ribosomal RNA", at positions 338 to 795 of the family's 1533-position model. The record is from RNAcentral.
CCUACGGGUGGCUGCAGUGAGGAAUAUUGGUCAAUGGGCGCUAGCCUGAACCAGCCAAGUAGCGUGAAGGAUUACUGCCCUAUGGGUUGUAAACUUCUUUUGUAUGGGAGUAAAGUGCAGUAUGUAUACUGCUUUGCAUGUACCCUAUGUAUAAGCCUCGGCUAACUCCGUGCCAGCAGCCGCGGUAAUACGGAGGAUGUGGGCGUUAUCCGGAUUUAUUGGGUUUAAAGGGUGCUGCGGUAGUUUUUUCAGUCAGCUGUGAAAGUUUGGGGCUCAACCACAAGAUUGCCGUUGAAACUGGCAGACUUGAGUGGGUGUGAGGUAGGCGGAAUGCGUGGUGUAGCGGUGAAAUGCAUAGAUAGCACGCAGAACGCCGAUUGCGAAGGCAGCUUACUGAGCCAUAACUGACGCUGAAGCACGAAAGCGUGGGGAUCAAACAGGAUUAGAUACCCCUGUAGUC